UGGGGAAUAUUGCACAAUGGGCGCAAGCCUGAUGCAGCCAUGCCGCGUGUAUGAAGAAGGCCUUCGGGUUGUAAAGUACUUUCAGUCGGGAGGAAGGUGGUAAGGUUAAUAACCUUUGCAAUUGACGUUACCGACAGAAGAAGCACCGGCUAACUCCGUGCCAGCAGCCGCGGUAAUACGGAGGGUGCAAGCGUUAAUCGGAAUUACUGGGCGUAAAGCGCACGCAGGCGGUUGAUUGAGUCAGAUGUGAAAUCCCCGGGCUUAACCCGGGAAUUGCAUCUGAUACUGGUCAGCUAGAGUCUUGUAGAGGGGGGUAGAAUUCCAUGUGUAGCGGUGAAAUGCGUAGAGAUGUGGAGGAAUACCGGUGGCGAAGGCGGCCCCCUGGACAAAGACUGACGCUCAGGUGCGAAAGCGUGGGGAGCAAACAGG
Molecule: ribosomal RNA, 429 nt
Filed under: Chloroflexota bacterium
Lineage: Bacteria; Bacillati; Chloroflexota
Description: Chloroflexi bacterium partial 16S ribosomal RNA
Rfam family: Bacterial small subunit ribosomal RNA
Source: RNAcentral